GACCUCCUGGGAUUGUGUCUAGAGAAUAGCUAGUGUUCUAUGAGCUUUGGAAACAGAAGGGAAAGCAAGCCCAGCAGAGGUACCCAUUCCAUUCCCAGCUUGCUCAGUAGCUGGCAAAUAGAAAACACUCUGUAGCUAGG
Otolemur garnettii (small-eared galago) is the source of this 140-nucleotide small nucleolar RNA. The record is from Ensembl. Lineage: Eukaryota; Metazoa; Chordata; Mammalia; Primates; Galagidae.